UCCUUCUAUCAUGAGUUCCGACUUGACGGAGAUCAUGGAGAACUCAUCAAACCCUAUCAUUAGUCAUAUGCUAGAUUGGUUCGACUCGAAUUUAUUUGUGAAUCUCGUAAAAACUCUUUUUUAGUAUUCAUAUUUGCUUUGAUCAAAGACUUUCUGAACUCACUUUCGCAAAUCACAUAGAACUUCUCCUUUUCUACGAAGAUCGAUAGAUUCCAUCUAGGUACAUCCUACUCGAAACAGCAAACUUAAACCUUCUAAAGCCAACAUACACAGCAAGGAUCCGAAUGACUAGGGAUCAAGAGAACAUGCAGUCAAACCCAGUAGCCUCGCUGUGAAUAGUCAAUGGCACCACAAGUCAAAGGAACACUCAUACCACUACAGCAUCGAGAAGAUCACCAAUGAGUGAGUAGACAUCCAUAUGGUUCUCAUGUUGGUCAUACUCAAUGUAAGUUAUUCUCUAACAACCAUCUGCAUCUUCACCUCAGUGUCUCUACACCAC
This 499-nucleotide long non-coding RNA is filed under the name Elaeis guineensis (African oil palm). Its description in RNAcentral is "long non-coding RNA (EGUI_LNC048040)". The record is from RNAcentral. Lineage: Eukaryota; Viridiplantae; Streptophyta; Magnoliopsida; Arecales; Arecaceae.